GAUGAACGCUGGCGGCGUGCCUAAUACAUGCAAGUCGAGCGAACAGACGAGGAGCUUGCUCCUCUGACGUUAGCGGCGGACGGGUGAGUAACACGUGGAUAACCUACCUAUAAGACUGGGAUAACUUCGGGAAACCGGAGCUAAUACCGGAUAAUAUUUUGAACCGCAUGGUUCAUUAGUGAAAGACGGUUUUGCUGUCACUUAUAGAUGGAUCCGCGCCGCAUUAGCUAGUUGGUAAGGUAACGGCUUACCAAGGCAACGAUGCGUAGCCGACCUGAGAGGGUGAUCGGCCACACUGGAACUGAGACACGGUCCAGACUCCUACGGGAGGCAGCAGUAGGGAAUCUUCCGCAAUGGGCGAAAGCCUGACGGAGCAACGCCGCGUGAGUGAUGAAGGUCUUCGGAUCGUAAAACUCUGUUAUUAGGGAAGAACAAAUGUGUAAGUAACUAUGCACGUCUUGACGGUACCUAAUCAGAAAGCCACGGCUAACUACGUG
This 497-nucleotide ribosomal RNA is filed under the name uncultured bacterium. RNAcentral's name for it is "partial 16S ribosomal RNA". It matches the Rfam family "Bacterial small subunit ribosomal RNA", at positions 28 to 507 of the family's 1533-position model. The record is from RNAcentral.